UACGGAGGAUGCAAGCGUUAUCCGGAUUCAUUGGGUUUAAAGGGUGCGCAGGUGGGCUUGUAAGUCAGUGGUGAAAUACUGCCGCUUAACGGUAGAAUUGCCACUGAUACUGUGAGUCUUGAGUAUGGUUGAGGGAGGUGGAAUGUACAGUGUAGCGGUGAAAUGCAAAGAUAUUGCACAGAACUCCGAUUGCGAAGGCAGCUUACUAAGCCACUACUGACGCUGAGGCACGAAAGCGUGGGUAGCGAACAGGAUUAGAUACCGUGGUAGUCCACGCCGUAACGAUGUUCACUCGCUGUUUGCGAUACACAGCAAGCGGCUGAGCGAAAGCAUUAAGUGAACCACCUGGGGAGUACGAUCGCAAGGUUGAA
This 371-nucleotide ribosomal RNA is filed under the name uncultured bacterium. Its description in RNAcentral is "bacterial SSU rRNA". It matches the Rfam family "Bacterial small subunit ribosomal RNA", at positions 524 to 898 of the family's 1533-position model. The record is from RNAcentral.